CCCUUAGAGUUUGAUCAUGGCUCAGAUUGAACGCUGGCGGCAUGCCUUACACAUGCAAGUCGAACGGUAACAGGGAGCUUGCUCCGCUGACGAGUGGCGAACGGGUGAGUAAUACAUCGGAACGUGCCCAGUAAUGGGGGAUAGCUCGGCGAAAGCCGGAUUAAUACCGCAUACGCCCUGAGGGGGAAAGUGGGGGACCGCAAGGCCUCACGUUAUUGGAGCGGCCGAUGGCUGAUUAGCUAGUUGGUAGGGUAAAGGCCUACCAAGGCGACGAUCAGUAGCUGGUCUGAGAGGACGAUCAGCCACACUGGGACUGAGACACGGCCCAGACUCCUACGGGAGGCAGCAGUGGGGAAUUUUGGACAAUGGGGGAAACCCUGAUCCAGCAAUGCCGCGUGUGCGAAGAAGGCCUUCGGGUUGUAAAGCACUUUUGUCAGGGAAGAAAUCCUUUGGGCUAAUACCCUAGGGGGAUGACGGUACCUGAAGAAUAAGCACCGGCUAACUACGUGCCAGCAGCCGCGGUAAUACGUAGGGUGCAAGCGUUAAUCGGAAUUACUGGGCGUAAAGCGUGCGCAGGCGGUUGUGUAAGACAGGUGUGAAAUCCCCGGGCUUAACCUGGGAAUUGCAUUUGUGACUGCACGACUAGAGUGUGUCAGAGGGGGGUGGAAUUCCACGUGUAGCAGUGAAAUGCGUAGAUAUGUG
This 702-nucleotide ribosomal RNA is filed under the name uncultured bacterium. RNAcentral's name for it is "bacterial SSU rRNA". It matches the Rfam family "Bacterial small subunit ribosomal RNA", at positions 1 to 700 of the family's 1533-position model. The record is from RNAcentral.